GAUGAACGCUGGCGGCGUGCUUAACACAUGCAAGUCGAACGAUGAAGCUCAGCUUGCUGGGUGGAUUAGUGGCGAACGGGUGAGUAACACGUGAGUAACCUGCCCUUUACUCUGGGAUAAGCCUGGGAAACUAGGUCUAAUACCGGAUAGGAGCGCCUACCGCAUGGUGGGUGUUGGAAAGAUUUAUCGGUUUUGGAUGGACUCGCGGCCUAUCAGCUUGUUGGUGAGGUAAUGGCUCACCAAGGCGACGACGGGUAGCCGGCCUGAGAGGGUGACCGGCCACACUGGGACUGAGACACGGCCCAGACUCCUACGGGAGGCAGCAGUGGGGAAUAUUGCACAAUGGGCGAAAGCCUGAUGCAGCGACGCCGCGUGAGGGAUGACGGCCUUCGGGUUGUAAACCUCUUUCAGUAGGGAAGAAGCGAAAGUGACGGUACCUGCAGAAGAAGCACCGGCUAACUACGUG
Molecule: ribosomal RNA, 466 nt
Filed under: uncultured bacterium
Lineage: Bacteria
Description: partial 16S ribosomal RNA
Rfam family: Bacterial small subunit ribosomal RNA
Source: RNAcentral